This 322-nucleotide ribosomal RNA is filed under the name Pectinopygus punctatus. RNAcentral describes it as "partial 12S ribosomal RNA". Lineage: Eukaryota; Metazoa; Arthropoda; Insecta; Psocodea; Philopteridae. The record is from RNAcentral.
UCUAGGGGAACAAGAGGAGUAGGACACAAGUUCGAAAUUCCAGGAGGCAUGGCGGAUCGAUUCCGGUCUAGAGGCUCGUGUGCAAUAAUCGACAUGGCACAAACACCUUACUUUCGCUUAGCAACCACUUCACACACCAUCAUAGGCAUAGGGACCAGAAGACCCUGUACUCGAGAGGGAGUCGAAAAUAGAUCAAGGCGUGGGAAACAGGAAAGAACACAUGCGAACCACUCUAACCGAUCUUGGAAUAGAACGGAAGGAGAGAAUUUAGAAGUAAGGCAAACCACAAAUCGGACGCCUGAAUAACCGUAAAAUCGGUCGU